Molecule: transfer RNA, 74 nt
Filed under: Bryobacterales bacterium
Lineage: Bacteria; Pseudomonadati; Acidobacteriota; Terriglobia; Bryobacterales
Description: tRNA-Thr
Rfam family: tRNA
About the family: Transfer RNA (tRNA) molecules are approximately 80 nucleotides in length. Their secondary structure includes four short double-helical elements and three loops (D, anti-codon, and T loops).
Source: RNAcentral
CGGGAUAGCUCAAUCGGUAGAGCACCUGAUUUGUAAUCAGGGGGUCGGGGGUUCGAAUCCCUCUGCCCCGACCA